UCCGUCACUCCUUACACACCCAGCACCGCUGACAUCCAGGUGUCCGAUGACGACAAGGCGGGGGCCACCUUGCUCUUCUCAGGCAUCUUUCUGGGACUGGUGGGGAUCACAUUCACUGUCAUGGGCUGGAUCAAAUACCAAGGUGUCUCCCACUUUGAAUGGACCCAGCUCCUUGGGCCCGUCCUGCUGUCAGUUGGGGUGACGUUCAUCCUGAUUGCUGUGUGCAAGUUCAAAAUGCUCUCCUGCCAGUUGUGCAAAGAAAGUGAGGAAAGGGUCCUGGACUCGGAACAGACACCAGGAGGACCAUCAUUUGUUUUCACUGGCAUCAACCAACCCAUCACCUUCCAUGGGGCCACUGUGGUGCAGUACAUCCCUCCUCCUUAUGGUUCUCCAGAGCCUGUGGGGAUAAAUACCAGCUACCUGCAGUCUGUGGAGCGAGACAGAGCAGAGUUGCCAUGUCA
Molecule: small RNA, 461 nt
Filed under: Pongo abelii (Sumatran orangutan)
Lineage: Eukaryota; Metazoa; Chordata; Mammalia; Primates; Hominidae
Description: processed transcript
Source: RNAcentral